GGGCCACCCUUCAUUGCUUUGCUUCUCUCUGUUUGUAUAAAUAAAUAAGUGAUGAGAGUGAGGGGUAACUAAAAUGAAGAAAUUGUGCGAGCUGUGCGAGUGUGUGGCUACGGUGAUGUGCGAAUCGGACGCAGCCAGGUUGUGUUGGGGGUGCGAUUCCAAGGUCCAUGGCGCUAAUUUUCUAGUGGGGAAGCAUUUGAGGGCUUUGCUGUGCCAU
RNAcentral lists this unclassified non-coding RNA (217 nucleotides) under Hevea brasiliensis (rubber tree). The record is from RNAcentral. Lineage: Eukaryota; Viridiplantae; Streptophyta; Magnoliopsida; Malpighiales; Euphorbiaceae.